Molecule: ribosomal RNA, 542 nt
Filed under: uncultured Halorubrum sp.
Lineage: Archaea; Methanobacteriati; Methanobacteriota; Halobacteria; Halobacteriales; Haloferacaceae
Description: bacterial SSU rRNA
Rfam family: Archaeal small subunit ribosomal RNA
Source: RNAcentral
ACGGGGCGCAGCAGGCGCGAAACCUUUACACUGCACGACAGUGCGAUAAGGGGAUCCCAAGUGCGUAGGCAUAUAGUCUUCGCUUUUGUCCACCGUAAGGAGGUGGACGAAUAAGGGCUGGGCAAGACCGGUGCCAGCCGCCGCGGUAAUACCGGCAGCCCGAGUGAUGGCCGAUCUUAUUGGGCCUAAAGCGUCCGUAGCUGGCCGCGCAAGUCCAUCGGAAAAUCCACCCGCUCAACGGGUGGGCGUCCGGUGGAAACUGCGUGGCUUGGGACCGGAAGGCGCGACGGGUACGUCCGGGGUAGGAGUGAAAUCCUGUAAUCCUGGACGGACCGCCGAUGGCGAAAGCACGUCGGGAGAACGGAUCCGACAGUGAGGGACGAAAGCUAGGGUCUCGAACCGGAUUAGAUACCCGGGUAGUCCUAGCCGUAAACAAUGCCUGCUAGGUGUGGCUCCCACUACGAGCGGGUGCUGUGCCGUAGGGAAGCCGCUAAGCAGGCCGCCUGGGAAGUACGUCCGCAAGGAUGAAACUUAAAGGAAUU